UACACUCCUACGGGAGGCAGCAUUGGGGAAUAUUGGACAAUGGGCGCGAGCCUGAUCCAGCCAUGCCGCGUGAGUGAUGAAGGCCCUAGGGUUGUAAAGCUCUUUCACCGGUGAAGAUAAUGACGGUAACCGGAGAAGAAGCCCCGACUAACUUCGUGCCAGCAGCCGCGGUAAUACGAAGGGGGCUAGCGUUGUUCGGAUUUACUGGGCGUAAAGCGCACGUAGGCGGACUAUUAAGUCAGGGGUGAAAUCCCGGGGCUCAACCCCGGAACUGCCUUUGAUACUGGUAGUCUUGAGUUCGAGAGAGGUGAGUGGAAUUCCGAGUGUAGAGGUGAAAUUCGUAGAUAUUCGGAGGAACACCAGUGGCGAAGGCGGCUCACUGGUUCGAUACUGACGCUGAGGUGCGAAAGCGUGGGGAGCAAACAGGAUUAGAUACCCCGGUAGUCCCAUG
RNAcentral lists this ribosomal RNA (451 nucleotides) under uncultured organism. RNAcentral describes it as "partial 16S ribosomal RNA". It matches the Rfam family "Bacterial small subunit ribosomal RNA", at positions 332 to 799 of the family's 1533-position model. The record is from RNAcentral.